RNAcentral lists this transfer RNA (69 nucleotides) under Fukomys damarensis (Damara mole-rat). It matches the Rfam family "tRNA". Rfam says of the family: Transfer RNA (tRNA) molecules are approximately 80 nucleotides in length. Their secondary structure includes four short double-helical elements and three loops (D, anti-codon, and T loops). Further hydrogen bonds mediate the characteristic L-shaped molecular structure. tRNAs have two regions of fundamental functional importance: the anti-codon, which is responsible for specific mRNA codon recognition, and the 3' end, to which the tRNAs corresponding amino acid is attached (by aminoacyl-tRNA synthetases). tRNAs cope with the degeneracy of the genetic code in two manners: having more than one tRNA (with a specific anti-codon) for a particular amino acid; and 'wobble' base-pairing, i.e. permitting non-standard base-pairing at the 3rd anti-codon position. The record is from Rfam by way of RNAcentral. Lineage: Eukaryota; Metazoa; Chordata; Mammalia; Rodentia; Bathyergidae.
GGGGAUAUAGCUGAGUGGCAAAGCACUUGCCUAGCAAGUGAGAGGCCUUGGGUUCCAUCCCUAGCACCA